RNAcentral lists this ribosomal RNA (123 nucleotides) under Pteropus alecto (black flying fox). Lineage: Eukaryota; Metazoa; Chordata; Mammalia; Chiroptera; Pteropodidae. The record is from RNAcentral.
GUCUAUGGUCAUGCCACCCUGAACAUGCCUGAUCUUGUAUGAUCUCAGAAGCUAAGCAGAGUUGGUCAGGCCUGCUUAGUACUUGGAUGGGAGACCACCUAGGAAGACCAGGUGCUGUAGGCA